GGGUCAGUAGGUUGGUCGUGCCACCGGUACGUACUGGUCUCACUGAUUCCUCCUUCCUGAAGAACCGUAAUGCCAUUAAUUUGGUGUUGCGGGGAAACAGGACUGUUACGUUGAAAAAAUUAGAGUGUUAAAAGCAAGCUAACGCUUGAAUACAUUAGCAUGGAAUAAUGAAAUAGGACGAUCGAUCCUAUUUUGUUGGUUUCUAGGAUUGACGUA
This 216-nucleotide ribosomal RNA is filed under the name Glomeromycotina sp. RNAcentral's name for it is "partial small subunit ribosomal RNA". The stretch from base 40 to 216 matches the Rfam family "Eukaryotic small subunit ribosomal RNA", at positions 686 to 864 of the family's 1831-position model. The record is from RNAcentral. Lineage: Eukaryota; Fungi; Glomeromycota.